RNAcentral lists this ribosomal RNA (253 nucleotides) under uncultured bacterium. Its description in RNAcentral is "partial 16S ribosomal RNA". It matches the Rfam family "Bacterial small subunit ribosomal RNA", at positions 524 to 776 of the family's 1533-position model. The record is from RNAcentral.
CACGUAGGGCGCAAGCGUUGUCCGGAAUUAUUGGGCGUAAAGAGCUCGUAGGCGGUCUGUUGCGUCCGCUGUGAAAACUCGGGGCUUAACCCCGAGCCUGCAGUGGAUACGGGCAGACUAGAGGUAGUUAGGGGAGAAUGGAAUUCCCGGUGUAGCGGUGAAAUGCGCAGAUAUCGGGAAGAACACCCGUGGCGAAGGCGGCACUCUGGGACGGUACUGACGCUGAGACGCGAAAGCGUGGGGAGCGAACAGG